This 118-nucleotide ribosomal RNA is filed under the name Pteropus alecto (black flying fox). Lineage: Eukaryota; Metazoa; Chordata; Mammalia; Chiroptera; Pteropodidae. The record is from RNAcentral. RNAcentral also lists the same sequence under 1 other name.
GUCUAUGGCCAUGCUACCCUGACAAGCCCUAUCUAGACUGAUCUCAGAAGCUAAGCAGGGUCAGGCCUGGUUAGUACUUGGAUGGGAGACCACCUAGGAAGACCAGGUGCUGGAGGCG